RNAcentral lists this ribosomal RNA (510 nucleotides) under uncultured bacterium. RNAcentral describes it as "partial 16S ribosomal RNA". It matches the Rfam family "Bacterial small subunit ribosomal RNA", at positions 28 to 507 of the family's 1533-position model. The record is from RNAcentral.
GACGAACGCUGGCGGCGUGCUUAACACAUGCAAGUCGAACGAAGAGCGACGGAAGCUUGCUUCUAUCAAUCUUAGUGGCGAACGGGUGAGUAACGCGUAAUCAACCUGCCCUUCAGAGGGGGACAACAGUUGGAAACGACUGCUAAUACCGCAUACGAUCUAACCUCGGCAUCGAGGAUAGAUGAAAGGUGGCCUCUACAUGUAAGCUAUCACUGAAGGAGGGGAUUGCGUCUGAUUAGCUAGUUGGAGGGGUAACGGCCCACCAAGGCGAUGAUCAGUAGCCGGACCGAGAGGAUGAACGGCCACAUUGGGACUGAGACACGGCCCAGACUCCUACGGGAGGCAGCAGUGGGGAAUCUUCCGCAAUGGACGAAAGUCUGACGGAGCAACGCCGCGUGAGUGAUGACGGCCUUCGGGUUGUAAAGCUCUGUUAAUCGGGACGAAAGGCCUUCUUGCGAAUAGUGAGAAGGAUUGACGGUACCGGAAUAGAAAGCCACGGCUAACUACGUG